GGGGCUGUAGCUCAGUGAUAGAGCAUUUGCUUUAGGCACUGGGUUCAAUCUCCAGCACCCCCA
This 63-nucleotide transfer RNA is filed under the name Heterocephalus glaber (naked mole-rat). It matches the Rfam family "tRNA". Rfam says of the family: Transfer RNA (tRNA) molecules are approximately 80 nucleotides in length. Their secondary structure includes four short double-helical elements and three loops (D, anti-codon, and T loops). Lineage: Eukaryota; Metazoa; Chordata; Mammalia; Rodentia; Bathyergidae. The record is from Rfam by way of RNAcentral.